UGCCAUGUGUUUUUGGGAAAUUCGGCCAAAUCCUUAGGGUGACUUUUUGGGUUCUGUUUGUCUUGUUAAAAUGGUUUUAAGGUGACUUUUGGAACCCUAAGUACCCUAGGAUAUUUGCCCUCUUUUAGGGUGAAAAAUUGAGUUUUGGUGAAUGAAAACAUCCAUGGGCUAUUAUGAGUUUCAUGGUGUUCUUCAAAUGUUCUUGAGUUCUUGCAAGACAAAAAGGUUUGAAGUUUUGAUUCAAAAGUUUUAUGUUUUUCAUAAGUUUUGGUUUAAUUUGAUGGGUGAUGGAUUGGUGAGCAUUAAAAUUGGCUUUAAUGUUUGUCUAAACUCAUUAAUGUUUUUACAAAAUUUUCUUCAAACAUCAAUUUCACUCACCCACCAAAUCCAUUGCUAUUGCACAUGCAUGCACUAAACCCUUUCACACUUGUUCACACCCCUUGGCCGGCCACCCCUCAAGUGGGGUACUUUUGGGGUUUUUUGUGCAAUUACAUAAAGUUUUUGAUAAUUUUGUGUUUUUUGCAUUUUGGCAAAGUUUACGUUUUUACGUUAAGUCCUAACGCUAAAGGACAAUUGUUUUGAUCCUUAAUGAUGUUUUUNCCACACAUGAACAUAUGCAUACAAUCGAUUUCCAAUUAUUCUUUCGACAAACCAUGAAUGACAAUGCCCAAAUUAAUUGUAUGGAAAAUUAAUUCUCAGAUUUCCCUAGAUUCAUUGAUGAGAUAACGCAUCACAACCAAGUAUCUUUAUCAAGUUCCUAAUAUGGAAUACGCAUGAAGAAACACUUAACAAAGAUUAUAAGUUCAAUGAAACCUAAGCAUUGAGAGGCAUUCAGACUAUGAAAGCAUUUAUCUUGCCUGGAUUUACUUAACACAAUCGUGACUAACGACUUUUACUACUCAUGAAUAUAAUUCAUAACGAUUAGGUGAAAUUCCCUUUACUCUAGCAUCAAAUGUUGAAGUAUGCCACAGCCACUCAUUUGAUGUAAUAGCUUUUUUGGAAUACUUAUUAUUCAACUUUUAUAUGUUUAAUGAAGGCAAAGCUUAUUGUACACUAUUAUUGUAUUCAUGUGUUUAAGCAAUAGGGAAUCCAAGGAAUGUAUUUGUUCUAGAGAGAAUGAUCUAAUGAGUUAGAUUAUCGAGACCUCUCUUAUGUUCAUUCCUAAACGUUCUAGCCAUAGGAUUGCCAAUUGGCAUUGACAAUCCGCUAAGGUUAGUAUGUGUUAUGUUGACUCAAACGUGAUAUGAACUAGUCUCAAGUCAUUUGGUGUUGGACACUGAGACAAACACAUAGGUGCUCGAAGAGAUAAUCGAGUACACUGAACGUCGAUCAAAAGAGAGUUCGAACAUACAUUCAUGUAUGAACUCUAAAGUGCAAUAUGCAAAGUAGUCCUUUGACCUGAGGCAUCAUAGAUGUCUAAUGUUAGGUCAUUGAUCUUUGAUCAUGUCAAUGGCAUUCUUCGGAUUGUCCACGGCAUUGUUGGGGUCAAAGCUAUCUAGUCAUGUAGGCAUAUGAAUGCACAACAAGGAUCUCUAACCUUCCAUGGUGGAAGGAGAAUACUCUAAGAUAUGAUCUAAAGUCUUUGGCCAAAGCAUAUGAAUAUGACUUAGGAAGUUUGUUCAAAUCAUAUUCAAGGAAUCAUAUAGGAAGUAUCACAUUGGAUAGAAACAUGAAACAAACUAUCACUUAAACAAUGUGAUAAGAGUAUUGUAUUAGAGAAGACGUAUUGCAUUGUAGUUGUAACUGGAUAGGUUCUCCACCAAUUCUACUUAGCUUGGGUAACCAUGAUAUGCUGGCUAGGUGUCACUCAUGGUUUGUGGAAGCCCUGAAGAUUAGCAAACACUAAUCUUAAGGAGAAUUGAAAUUGUUUCAAUUCACAAUCGAUCGAUAAGAGUAACAUCGCCACUGCCUCGCUAUUGGAACCUAAGGGAUCGCACACCACAUAAGGUGUUAGGAAGAAUUAUAGAAUGGAUAAGCAAUUAAAUGGUUUAUUGAAGAAUGGUCAAGAUUAAUUAAUUAGUUAAUUAAUUAUACGAAAGGUUCGUAUUGGCUAUAGUUGGUUUUGGGUUUGGCCCAAAAGUGUUUUGGUCCACAAGGCCAUUAUGUUUAAGUUGUAUGAAACUAAAACAAAAUGGGCAAUUAGCCAAUAACAAGAGAGCCGGCAUUAGGUGAAUGGGCAACUUGCUUAAUACAAGUUUUGCCACUCCAAAGAAAAUGUUAUAAAGGAACUUUAUAGCAAUUUUCUCAUUAGGGUUUUCUAAUAGAAAUUGGGUGAAACAUUUUUCUCUCUUUUUCUACAUAGAGCCGGCCACUUAGAGGAUUUUACUAGCAUCUAAAAUCUCUCUAAGUCAUCCAUAUCAUCUUCACAAUAUACAACCUUGGUGAAGAGACUUAGAGACAUCAAGCUUUUGAUGUUUUUGGAGAACAAAUCCUUUUUUCCUCUAAUCAUCAAGGAGCACUAAAGGAGGAAAACAAGGAGGAUUCAAGGAGCUUGGAGGUGACUUGAAGGCCCUCCACUUGGGUGAAUCCCUUGUGUAAACAAGGAUGAGCUUCAAGGGUAAAGAAUCACUAAAUCUUUACUUCUCUUUAAUUUUGUUAAAGAGUUUUUUUGGUUCACCAUAUACUAGGCUUUGAAAGUCAUGGGUUUUAUGAAUUGUUUUUGGAUGCAUGCCUACUUUAAAGUGUUGAUAGCUUGCAUGUGUUUCAAAUGUUUCAUACUUGUUCUUAGCUAGGACAAAUUUUUCCUUCAAGUGGUAUCAGAGCCUAGGCCUAGUUUAUGGUGACUCCUUUUGGGUUUUGUGAUGUUCAUAUUUUGUGAUUUAAUUGUUGUAAAUGUUACAAGCUUUUCUUGCUUUUGAAAUAUAUAAAUUUUGCUAGAAAAUUUAGCAUCUCAAAUGUUGUAGAUGUAUUUCAUUUAAGCAUGAAUAUUGGAACUAAAAUUUGGUGCCAUGUGUUUUGGGAAAUUCGGCCAAAUCCUUAGGGUGACUUUUUGGGUUCAUGUUUGUCUUGUUAAAAUGGUUUUUAAGGUGACUUUUGGAACCCCUAAGUACCCUAGGAUAUUUGCCCUCUUUUGAGAGGUGAAAAAUUGAGUUUUGGUGAAUGAAAACAUCCAUGGGGCUAUUAUGAGUUUUCAUGGUGUUCUUCAAAUGUUCUUGAAGUUCUUGCCAAGAACAAAAAGGUUUGAAGUUUUGAUUCAAAAGUUUUUAUGUUUUUCAUAAAGUUUUGGUUUAAUUUUGAUGGGUGAUGGAUAUUGGUGAAGCAUUAAAAUUGGCUUUAAUGUUUGUCUAAACUCAUUAAUGUUUUUACAAAACAUUUUCUUACAAACCAUCCAAUUCACCUCACCCACAAAAUCCACUUGCAUAUUGCACAUGCAUGCACUAAAACCCUUUCACACUUGUUCACCACACUCCCUUGGCCGGCACCCUCAAAGUGGGGUACUUUUGGGGUUUUUUGUGCAAUUACAUAAAGUUUUGAUAAUUUUGUGUUUUUGCAUUUUGGCCCAAAAGUUUACGUUUUUACGUUAAGGUCCUAAAACGCUAAAGGACGAAUUGUUUUGAUCCUUUAAUGAUGUUUUUACAUUAAUAAAAUUUUGGGAUCUAGUUGUAUUUACAUGAAGUUGUGGACUAUUGUGUUUAUACAAAGUGACUUUACAUUAUGGCCCAAUUGUUGUGGUCAUAGUUUCCUUUUGGCCCAAAUAAAAUGAGAACAAAAUUGUUUUGUCUCUUUAAUGAGAAUAGGAUUUUCAUUCUAUUUAGUUCCAUUUAAAUCAAUUCUAUGGAUCCAAAAACCAAUUGUUUAAAGUUGUUUUCUUAGUUAAUGUGAUUGAUUAAGAAAAGGGUGAUUAUGAACCAAAGGCCACGAUAAUUGAGCUAUGUGAUUGGCCGAUAUACAUUAUGAAUGUUUGGGUUUUAGUAGUAUAGAUUUGAAUGUAAUUUGAUUAAUUCAAUUUGUUGUAAAUGGACAUAAGUCCAUCAUUUGAUUUGUGUUGUAAAAGGGCAUAAGCCCUUAUUAUUAUUUCAUGUAUUCCUUUUGUUUAUAUGUAUGCAAAAUUGAAUAGUUGGGUCCAACGCCCAAUAGGAAAUAACGGUUUAAUUGGAUUAAACGCGUAACUAAAAUCAACA
This 4121-nucleotide long non-coding RNA is filed under the name Malus domestica (apple). Its description in RNAcentral is "long non-coding RNA (MDOM_LNC015376)". Lineage: Eukaryota; Viridiplantae; Streptophyta; Magnoliopsida; Rosales; Rosaceae. The record is from RNAcentral.